GAUAUUCUGAAGGCCUGAUCUCUCUAGUCACAUGAAGCCUCCACUAGGAGUAGACUAGAGCUCCAGCAGCCCUGAGGGCAUACCAGGCCUCGUCACCCCCGUCAGUCCAUCAGUCAACACGGCGCUCGCAUCACUCCUGUUGACCAGGUUUUCAGGUGAUCCUUCCCUCACUCUCUGUUUUCGCCUUCCUUUCACAAACAAGACUAAAGAAAAUACCUCCAAAUCCUUGUGUGCCUUGUUCAAGCUUUGAAUGAAACUCCCAGACGUAAAACGACUCACUAAACUGUCGCCAAGUGCUUAUAACAGCAUGGGGGAAAGAGGAGAAGAAGGAAGAAAACAACAAUCAGUUAGCGUGUCGUUUCAUCCUGUUGGCGCCCCAUCCUUUUAAAACAUGUUCAAGCAGAAUAACGUUCGCCGAUAACGAGGCUAUCGCGCUGCAGCAGAUGCUAGCCUGCCAAUAACGGGAUGUCUCCCCUGACAUGGCUUCACAAGCUGGGCUUAUUGACAUGGGGCUCUGGAGACGGGCUAGAGAAUCAGGACUGGCUGUCCACAACAACAAUGGCCUCCCAAAAGCCCCACAGUAAACACAUCCAAGAGCCUUUCAUCUCCAAGGUUACAACAAUAGCACAUCUACCACAGGAAGCAUCAACCAAAGUACAUCCACACAACAUUGUGAACAUAGACGUGGAAAGAAAUGCCUUGAAACCUAUAGGGUUUAAUGGGGGGAUUGAUUUGUUGAUAGCCCAGGCGGGUAUCAUGGCCAGCAGGUUGUACAGUUUAUGCAAAGGUCAUUACUACAACAGUGAACAUAGCGAUAUGUAACCUUGUCUGGUAAUGUUGAGGAGUUGAAGCCAC
RNAcentral lists this long non-coding RNA (855 nucleotides) under Salmo salar (Atlantic salmon). RNAcentral describes it as "lncRNA (ENSSSAG00000095426.1)". The record is from RNAcentral. Lineage: Eukaryota; Metazoa; Chordata; Actinopteri; Salmoniformes; Salmonidae.